Molecule: ribosomal RNA, 1520 nt
Filed under: Klebsiella pneumoniae
Lineage: Bacteria; Pseudomonadati; Pseudomonadota; Gammaproteobacteria; Enterobacterales; Enterobacteriaceae
Also listed under: 3 other names
Description: bacterial SSU rRNA
Rfam family: Bacterial small subunit ribosomal RNA
Source: RNAcentral
AGAGUUUGAUCAUGGCUCAGAUUGAACGCUGGCGGCAGGCCUAACACAUGCAAGUCGAGCGGUAGCACAGAGAGCUUGCUCUCGGGUGACGAGCGGCGGACGGGUGAGUAAUGUCUGGGAAACUGCCUGAUGGAGGGGGAUAACUACUGGAAACGGUAGCUAAUACCGCAUAACGUCGCAAGACCAAAGUGGGGGACCUUCGGGCCUCAUGCCAUCAGAUGUGCCCAGAUGGGAUUAGCUAGUAGGUGGGGUAACGGCUCACCUAGGCGACGAUCCCUAGCUGGUCUGAGAGGAUGACCAGCCACACUGGAACUGAGACACGGUCCAGACUCCUACGGGAGGCAGCAGUGGGGAAUAUUGCACAAUGGGCGCAAGCCUGAUGCAGCCAUGCCGCGUGUGUGAAGAAGGCCUUCGGGUUGUAAAGCACUUUCAGCGGGGAGGAAGGCGAUAAGGUUAAUAACCUUGUCGAUUGACGUUACCCGCAGAAGAAGCACCGGCUAACUCCGUGCCAGCAGCCGCGGUAAUACGGAGGGUGCAAGCGUUAAUCGGAAUUACUGGGCGUAAAGCGCACGCAGGCGGUCUGUCAAGUCGGAUGUGAAAUCCCCGGGCUCAACCUGGGAACUGCAUUCGAAACUGGCAGGCUAGAGUCUUGUAGAGGGGGGUAGAAUUCCAGGUGUAGCGGUGAAAUGCGUAGAGAUCUGGAGGAAUACCGGUGGCGAAGGCGGCCCCCUGGACAAAGACUGACGCUCAGGUGCGAAAGCGUGGGGAGCAAACAGGAUUAGAUACCCUGGUAGUCCACGCCGUAAACGAUGUCGAUUUGGAGGUUGUGCCCUUGAGGCGUGGCUUCCGGAGCUAACGCGUUAAAUCGACCGCCUGGGGAGUACGGCCGCAAGGUUAAAACUCAAAUGAAUUGACGGGGGCCCGCACAAGCGGUGGAGCAUGUGGUUUAAUUCGAUGCAACGCGAAGAACCUUACCUGGUCUUGACAUCCACAGAACUUAGCAGAGAUGCUUUGGUGCCUUCGGGAACUGUGAGACAGGUGCUGCAUGGCUGUCGUCAGCUCGUGUUGUGAAAUGUUGGGUUAAGUCCCGCAACGAGCGCAACCCUUAUCCUUUGUUGCCAGCGGUUAGGCCGGGAACUCAAAGGAGACUGCCAGUGAUAAACUGGAGGAAGGUGGGGAUGACGUCAAGUCAUCAUGGCCCUUACGACCAGGGCUACACACGUGCUACAAUGGCAUAUACAAAGAGAAGCGACCUCGCGAGAGCAAGCGGACCUCAUAAAGUAUGUCGUAGUCCGGAUUGGAGUCUGCAACUCGACUCCAUGAAGUCGGAAUCGCUAGUAAUCGUAGAUCAGAAUGCUACGGUGAAUACGUUCCCGGGCCUUGUACACACCGCCCGUCACACCAUGGGAGUGGGUUGCAAAAGAAGUAGGUAGCUUAACCUUCGGGAGGGCGCUUACCACUUUGUGAUUCAUGACUGGGGUGAAGUCGUAACAAGGUAACCGUAGGGGAACCUGCGGUUG